GUAGGUGAACCUGCGGAAGGAUCAUUACUGAGAUAGGGUCCUUCGGGGCCCGACCUCCAACCCUUUGUCUAUCUACCACUGUUGCCUCGGCGGGUCGCCGGUGCCCCUCAGGGGGUGCCGCCGUCGGCCUCCGCGCUCUCGAGUGCCCGCCAUGAGGCCUGUAUAAACCCUUUCAAAUUUAGUAAUCUGAGAGUAUAUCAAUACUUCAAAACUUUCAACAACGGAUCUCUUGGUUCUG
RNAcentral lists this unclassified non-coding RNA (238 nucleotides) under rhizosphere metagenome. RNAcentral's name for it is "partial ribosomal RNA internal transcribed spacer region". The record is from RNAcentral.